GCUGAAAUGGCUCAGCCAGGAGAGGAUUAGACUGAGGAUCUAAAGGUCCCUGGUUUGAUCCCGGGUUUCAACA
Molecule: non-coding RNA, 73 nt
Organism: Synchiropus splendidus (mandarinfish)
Lineage: Eukaryota; Metazoa; Chordata; Actinopteri; Syngnathiformes; Callionymidae
Source: the annotation of a RefSeq genome assembly